Molecule: ribosomal RNA, 507 nt
Filed under: Uperodon mormoratus
Lineage: Eukaryota; Metazoa; Chordata; Amphibia; Anura; Microhylidae
Description: partial small subunit ribosomal RNA
Rfam family: Bacterial large subunit ribosomal RNA
Source: RNAcentral
AAGUUAAACGGCCGCGGUACCCUAACCGUGCGAAGGUAGCGCAAUCACUUGUUCUUUAAAUGAGGACUAGUAUGAACGGCAUCACGAAGGUUAUACUGUCUCCUUCCUCCAAUCAGUGAAACUGACCCCCCCGUGAAGAGGCGGGGAUAAAAAUAUAAGACGAGAAGACCCCAUGGAGCUUUAAACUCAGCAUCAAUUGCCCAACUUAAAUAUCAUUUUAAAUCAGCAAACCUGAUAGCUAGUUUUCGGUUGGGGUGACCACGGAGCAAAACAAAACCUCCAUGAUGAAAGGAUAGACCUCCUAAUCUAAGAGCUACAACUCAAAGAAUCAAUAAACUGACAUAACUUGAUCCAAUUAAUUUUGAUCAACGAACCAAGUUACCCUGGGGAUAACAGCGCAAUCCACUUCAAGAGCCCCUAUCGACAAGUGGGUUUACGACCUCGAUGUUGGAUCAGGGUAUCCCAGUGGUGCAGCCGCUACUAAUGGUUCGUUUGUUCAACGAUUAA